UACGUAGGGUGCAAGCGUUGUCCGGAAUUAUUGGGCGUAAAGAGCUCGUAGGCGGUUCGUCGCGUCGGCUGUGAAAACCCGAGGCUCAACCUCGGGCCUGCAGUCGAUACGGGCGGACUGGAGUUCGGCAGGGGAGACUGGAAUUCCUGGUGUAGCGGUGAAAUGCGCAGAUAUCAGGAGGAACACCGGUGGCGAAGGCGGGUCUCUGGGCCGAUACUGACGCUGAGGAGCGAAAGCUAGGGGAGCAAACGGG
This 253-nucleotide ribosomal RNA is filed under the name uncultured bacterium. Its description in RNAcentral is "partial 16S ribosomal RNA". It matches the Rfam family "Bacterial small subunit ribosomal RNA", at positions 524 to 776 of the family's 1533-position model. The record is from RNAcentral.